GACUUUUGUUAAUAAUGCUGUCAGGUGGAUGACUUGGCUUGGGCGCUGAAGAAGGGCGUGACCAGCUACGAUAUGUCCCGGCGAGGCGCAUGUAGCCUUUGAACCGGGAAUACCUGAAUGCGACUUCGCAUACAAUCCGAAAGGAUAGGAAAUGCAGGGAAUUGAAACGUCUUAGUACCUGCAAGAAAAGAAAUCAAUUGAGAUGCUGCUAGUAAGGGCGACUGAACACAGCACAAGGCAAACUGAAUCUCUUUCCGCAAGGGAAGAGAGAUGUGGUGUUAUAGGCUGUUCGCAUGAAUCCUUUCUAGGGAAUCCGAACUCCUCUGGAAAGAGGGGCUGCAAAGAGUGAUAGCCUCGUAGGAGAAACUUAGAGGGAUUUGAACAGUACCUUGAGUACCGUUUAUUGGAUAUUAAACGGGAAUGCGGGAGGCAUCAACUUCCAACCUUAAAUACGUCCCAAGUCCGAUAGCAAAGUAGUACCAUGAGGGAACGUUGAAAAGAACCCUCAACCGGAAGUUAAAAGAGCCUGAAACCUGACAGCUAUCGCGAGGCACUGCUCUAAGGAGUUGUGCCGUCCGUUUUGAAUAACGGGCCAGGGAGUAUAUUCGAGUGGCAAGGAUAACCUUAUUGGGUAUCCACAGCGAAAGCAACUUGCCUGCAACUUGUGAGAGGCGAGGUAUGAAAGUGCCUGGAGUCACUCGGAUUCGACCCGAAGCCGGGCGAUCUAGCCCUUGGCAAGGUGAAAUGCGGGUAAAACCGCAUGGAGGCCUGCAGAGGUUCUACGUGCAAGUGUUCUUCUGACCUGGGGCUAGGGGUGAAAAGCCAAUCGAGCCUGGUGAUAGCUGGUUCCUACCGAAGUUGGCCGCAGUCAAGCCUUGGAGGAGCAGGCCAUGACUGUAGAGAUACGGAUUGAGAGCUUAGGUCUCGAAAGGGAUCGGCUUUCUGUCCAACUCCGAAUAUUAUGGCUGCAUAGAUUCCAAGAGACGGGAGUACCUGGGGUAAACUUGUACUCCGAGAGGGGAACAACCCAGACUGCAGUUAAGGUCCCUAAAUAUCGGCUAAGUGUGAAAGGGUAAAGAGUGUCUAUUGUCAAAGACAGCGAGGAGGUUGGCUUAGAAGCAGCCACCCUUUAAAAAGUGCGUAACAGCUUACUUGUCAAGAUGAUAGGCCUUAAAGAUGGACGGGGCUAAGCCGAUUACCGAUACUGCAGACAUGCUAAAAGCAUAGUAGUAGGUAGGCGUUCUGCUAGGGUAGAAGUAUCCUCGCAAGAGGGUAUGGACCUUGUAGAAAUGAGAAUCCUGGCGGUAGUAGGAUCUGAGUACUGUGAGAAUCAGUACCACCGGAAGGGCUAGGGUUCCUUGGCAAUAUAGGUUAGCCAAGGGUUAGUCGAUCCUAACUUAGCUCAUAACAUGAGCUAUAUAGGAAUGGGAAAAAGGUUAAUAUUCCUUUACCAUCCGGAUAUGUGCGGCGACGCAAGUCUUGCUGUUGACGUUUCGGGUUAGGCCAACAUAUCUUGUCUGAUAUGUCAACCGGAACAAGUCAAGGGAGUAUCGUAAUGAUGAGAACUUGAUUAAUUCCGGGAUAAGUAUUCCUUUGGAGUAUUUGGCUCAUACCUGGAGCCCCUGAAAAAGCAGCAGGAAUAAAUUCUGGAUGUUCGUACCAAGAACCAGCACUGGUGCCCCUAGGUGAGGAGCCUAAGGUGAGAAGGUCUAAUCUAAUUGAGGGAACUCGGCAAAUUGGCCCCGUGCCUUCGGCAUAAGGGGUCCCUGCGAUCGUUCUUAAGGAUGCGAUUGCAGGGUGCAAUGACUAAGUGAGUCCGACUGUUUAACAAAAACCUAACUGACUGCAAGCCUGUAAAGGUGUGUAUAGUCAGUGACGUCUGCCCAGUGCGCGUACUUUAAACUCCUUUCCAAGGGAGCUAAGAGCGCGUAAACGGCGGGGGUAACUAUAACUCUCUUAAGGUAGCGUAAUACCUUGUCGUUUGAUUGACGACUUGCAUGAAUGGCGUAACGAGAUUCACACUGUCCCCAAUUAGAAGCCUCCGAAUACUUUGUACUGGUGCAAAAACCAGUGAUUUCCAGUGGGAAGCGAAGACCCCGUGAAACUUUACUGUAGCCUGAUGCUGCAAUGUAAGCUUUGAUACGUAGCGUAGGUGGGAGUUGCCAAAGCUUGACUUUCGGGUUGAGUGUAGACACCAAUGAAACACCACUUGUCGGAAUUUACGUUGCUAACCCUGAAAAGGGAACACCAUUUGGUGGACAGUUUGGCUGGGGUGGCACCCUGCUGAAAAUGUAUCAGCAGGGCCCAAUGGUUGACUCAAGCGGGUCAGGAAUCCGCUGUAGAGUGCAAGGGCAAAAGUCAGCCUAACUGGAUUCAUACCAAGAUUGUAUCCAGAGCAGAAAUGCGGGCCUAGCGAACUCCUAUGCCCUCCUUGAUGGGGGCUAGGAAUGACCGAAAAGUUACUCCGGGGAUAACAGAGUUGUCCCGCCCGAGAGUUCACAUCGACGGCGGGGCUUGCUACAUCGAUGUCGGCUCUUCCUAUCCUGGCCGUGCAGAAGCGGCCAAGGGUGCGGGUGUUCACCGAUUAAAAGGAAUCGUGAGCUGGGUUCAGAACGCUGUGAGGCAGUUUGUUUGAUAUCUACUGGAAGUGUUGUUGUCUGAUGGGAAGGGAGCCAUAGUACGAGAGGAACUGGCUCUCGAGGCCUCUGGUCUACCUGUUAUCCGACAGGGUAUGCAGGGCAGCUACGCCUUGUAGGGAUAAGCGCUGAAAGCAUCUAAGCGCGAAGCCCUCCUAGAAAAUAGACAACGCAGAACUCCCGCAAAAUACGGGUUUGAUGGAGCAGGAGUGUAAGCACGAAGGCAACGACGUGUUCAGCUCGCUGCCACCAAAAGUUCAUGCCUUAAGUCUA
Molecule: ribosomal RNA, 2909 nt
Filed under: Candidatus Woesearchaeota archaeon
Lineage: Archaea; Nanobdellati; Candidatus Woesearchaeota
Description: 23S ribosomal RNA
Rfam family: Archaeal large subunit ribosomal RNA
Source: RNAcentral